Molecule: long non-coding RNA, 568 nt
Filed under: Vitis vinifera (wine grape)
Lineage: Eukaryota; Viridiplantae; Streptophyta; Magnoliopsida; Vitales; Vitaceae
Description: long non-coding RNA (VVIN_LNC004765)
Source: RNAcentral
UCCAAAUCAACCUCCUUCAUACAUACUAAGCCUUAGAUACAAUGCCUGUUGAGCUUGUUGAGCUUCUUCUCAGUUUCAAGGGCCUGGUGGGUGGUAGGGGCUGUGUGGUGGACUGUAUGGACUUUUAUAUAUUUUGGGGCUGGGUGGUGGAUAGUGUGGGCUUUUAUAUAUUUUGGGGCUGGGUGGUGGACUGUAUGGGCUUUUAUAUAUUUUGGGGCUGGGUGGUGGAUUGUGUGGCCUUUUAUAUAUUUUGGGGCUGGGAGGUGGAAUGCGUGGGCUUUUAUAUAUUUUGGGGCUGGGUGGUGGACUGUGUGGGCUUUUAUAUAUUUUGGGGCUGGGUGGUGGAUUGUGUGGGCUUUUAUAUAUUUUGGGGCUGGGAGGUGCAAUGUGUGGGCUUUUAUAUAUUUUGGGGCUGGGAGGUGGAAUGUGUGGGCUUUUAUAUAUUUUGGGGCUGGGUGGACUUUUAUGCAUUCUUUUACAGUCCCUUGAUCCGGGAUUGCACAUGCUUGUAGAUGGUGGAUCAGGUAAAUUCCCUGCUAUAAAGCCCACCUUAUCGCUACUCAUUUCU